Molecule: long non-coding RNA, 715 nt
Filed under: Acromyrmex echinatior (Panamanian leafcutter ant)
Lineage: Eukaryota; Metazoa; Arthropoda; Insecta; Hymenoptera; Formicidae
Description: uncharacterized LOC105150207, transcript variant X1
Source: RNAcentral
AAACAAAGGGAAAAAAAUUCACUGAGAAAAACUCAACGGCUAGUUAAAACAACUUAACAAGCAGCAUAAAGAAACACGCGCUGGAAAAUAUUAACAAUCGUAGAACGCGAGUUUCCUAUAAGGUAUCAGGUAUCUUGCGGUGAUACCCCGACCAACGGAUCUGAAAUAGCACGAAUGAUACACGGCAGUAAUCCAAGCCGAGUCCAGACAAUCUGAGAUCAAAGUUUUUGCGAAUUCACAUACGAUCUGCGCAUUGAUCCGCAGAACACCUUAACAACUCCCGGUGGGAAUCGCCGACACAGAUUUAUCACGGUGGAACGUGCGCUCCGGCUAUUUCCACUACGUUUUGUGCUGCCUCAAGAAUUCCUCGGUGAAAUUAUCGGACGAUGCUAAUAGGCCGCUGGAAAUCAGGACGUACAUUAUAGGAUCGCUAGCAGUUUCAACAAAAUCAAUGCUACGACUGUUAAUUGACGGCCAAGAUUCAAGUUAUAGUACUGGACCAUCACUGACAAAUGAUUGGAAAAAAUGACUAGGUCAGUACCGAAUCCAAGUUAUCAUCCAGUACUUAGUCAGUACUGCGCCAGUAAUUGAACUUGUGGCAACCAAUAAUAGCCCAGCAUUAAGUCGAUUGUAAAACCCUAUAUAGGAUGCGAACAUCAAAGCGAAUGUGUAAGGGUGGUCAAAACCGAUCAAAUAAACGUUCACGAUCAACAGA